Molecule: microRNA precursor, 67 nt
Filed under: Bombyx mori (domestic silkworm)
Lineage: Eukaryota; Metazoa; Arthropoda; Insecta; Lepidoptera; Bombycidae
Description: mir-2774 microRNA precursor family
Rfam family: mir-2774 microRNA precursor family
Source: Rfam by way of RNAcentral
AUAACAUUAGGACGGUCAGUAUACCGAGCAAUUUCACCCGCUCGGUGAAAGAUUUUUCUUGUGUCGU